UGAGCGCUCUCAGCCUCUCUCCUCCCAGGGCUCCCGCGUCUGCCUCCCUCCACGCCUCUGCCUUUUCUCCCUCCCUUCAACCCCUCCUCCGGCUGACCCACGUGGGACGUUUCGGUGACAGGAGGCGGAGGAGGCCCUGGCGCAUCUGCCACCGCUGAGCGCAGGCGGAUGCUGGGAUGCUCGUGACGGACAGACUGCGCAUCCUGAGUAGGCCCUGCGAUACCCGAGGCUCCGGACUCGGCCUGCCAUCCGGUCCAAGAAAUCUGAGCCCUUAUCAAGCCUCUGCUCGGCUAAUCUGACUGUUGUCAUCAGUGGAGGCCCUGUGGUGCCUACCGAGGCACAAGACUCGGGGAAAGAACCCCAAAGGGAGGCCUGAGUCCUGCUAAUGCCCUCCAUAUUAUCCCUGAUUGCGUGGUGAGCAGGACAGGCGGGCAGAUCGCACAGGAAAUCUCAGCUGCAGGAAGGAAAAAAAAAAAAGAAUUUUGGAGAAAAAGGCGACUUCAAUCAACUUUUACCCCAUAAGUAUCUGAAAAUGAAAACAGGGAAGACAAUUUUAGACAAACAUGAAUAAAGUGGGCCUAAAUACAUAAAUAAAGUAGGCACUUGCAGUGUGCGGGUGUUAACAGCCUCA
Molecule: non-coding RNA, 631 nt
Organism: Cricetulus griseus (Chinese hamster)
Lineage: Eukaryota; Metazoa; Chordata; Mammalia; Rodentia; Cricetidae
Source: RefSeq, a predicted model, not a curated record